ACACAUGCAAGUCGAACGAUGAAUCCCAGUCUUGCUGGGGUGGAUUAGUGGCGAACGGGUGAGUAACACGUGAGUAACCUGCCCUUGACUCUAGGAUAAGCCUGGGAAACUGGGUCUAAUACGGGAAAUGACUUCUCACCGCAGGGUGGGGGUGGAAAGAUUUAUUGGUCUUGGAGGGACUCGCGGCCUAUCAGCUUGUUGGUGAGGUAAUGGCUCACCAAGGCGACAACCGGUAGCCCGCCUGAGAGGGUGACCCGCCACCCUGGGACUGAAACACGGCCCAUACCCCUACGGGAGGCAGCCUUGGGGAAUAUUGCACAAUGGGCGCAAGCCUGAUGCAGCGACUCCACGUGAGGGAUGACGGCCUUCGGGUUGUAAACCUCUAUCAGAAGGGAAGAAGCAAAUGUGACCGUCCCUGCAGAAGAUACGCCCGCUAACUACGUGCCAGC
This 449-nucleotide ribosomal RNA is filed under the name uncultured bacterium. RNAcentral's name for it is "bacterial SSU rRNA". It matches the Rfam family "Bacterial small subunit ribosomal RNA", at positions 51 to 512 of the family's 1533-position model. The record is from RNAcentral.